RNAcentral lists this ribosomal RNA (253 nucleotides) under uncultured bacterium. Its description in RNAcentral is "partial 16S ribosomal RNA". It matches the Rfam family "Bacterial small subunit ribosomal RNA", at positions 524 to 776 of the family's 1533-position model. The record is from RNAcentral.
UACGUAGGGGGCAAGCGUUGUCCGGAAUCACUGGGCGUAAAGCGUGCGUAGGCGGUUGCGUGUGUCUGGGGUGAAAGUCCAGGGCUCAACCCUGGGAUUGCUUUGGAAACUGGCAGACUUGAGUGCUGGAGAGGCAAGGGGAAUUCCACGUGUAGCGGUGAAAUGCGUAGAUAUGUGGAGGAAUACCAGUGGCGAAGGCGCCUUGCUGGACAGUGACUGACGCUGAGGCACGAAAGCGUGGGGAGCAAACAGG